This 20642-nucleotide small RNA is filed under the name Caenorhabditis elegans. Its description in RNAcentral is "Unclassified non-coding RNA T01D1.9". The record is from RNAcentral. Lineage: Eukaryota; Metazoa; Nematoda; Chromadorea; Rhabditida; Rhabditidae.
GGAGGAACGGCAUCGACAGUGUCCUGCGGAUCUCAAGCCCCCGAAAGCCCGGAUCGACGGAUACACUGAUUAUAGGUUAGUUUUCCAGUAAAAUUAAAUUUGGUGUAGCCGAGUCUGUGUCUUAAAAAAUUCUCAGAAAACUUUUUCGGCACUUCGAGGCUCUAGCAAAUUAGCAGAAUUUUGUGUUGUCAAGCACAGAGAACCUUCCAAGUAUAAUCUUUGGCUAAACCAUCUUUAAAACAAAUAUCAGAACGUGUCUUACAAUUAGAGUCGAUCAAUUCACCAAAUUACUUAAUUUGACCUGGAACUCACUUCUCAUAAAACAAAAAAGUAGCACAAAACCGAUUGAUAGCCAUCAUGCAAUUUCCAAACAAAUUAUUGAAUAAUCCGAAAAACAAACUAGUACUAUUUAACUGUGAUAACCAAAUAUAUAUUGGACCGCUCAUUGUAUUUUUGAAUAUGUUAUAGGUGGUUAGAGUAUAACAGUAGUAGACGUCAAAGCAACCUGAAUGAAGCACUUAAAUUCAGACCUUUUCAAUUUGUGAACUUCCGAACUCUUUGCAAUUGUGCAAUUGUGUAGACACACUAGCUUACAAACUUUUGUUCAAUGCUCAAUUUUAUUCGGUUAGAGAGUCGUCUCGCACCUUUUUUUAUUGAAAAAUAACCUAUUUAGGCAUCGCAGGAUUUGUUAUUUUGUUUUUGAGUGAUCAUUUCAUAGCUAGAUGACAAAUAUUUAUAUUUUUGGAUAAGGUCUAUUUAAUUUGUGUUUUGGUCAAGACAUUUACAACUAGUAAUUGUGAUUGAUUAGUAUUCGCAAAGGUUUAUACAAUAGGGUUGUAAAAUUGGACGUACCCCUCGUACUCUCUAUUUUUAUAAUGGAAACCAGGGGUGGGCUGCAAUUGCCGUUCGGCAAAAUUUUUUUGUCGACAAAUUCAGCAAACUGCCGGUUUGCCGAUAUGUUGGAAAUUUUCCAUUCCCGCAAUAUUCCGGUUUGCCGAUUUGCCGGAAAUUUUAAUUUUUGGCAAAUUGCCAAUUUGCCAAUUGAAAGUGAAAUUCUGACAUUUCCAAAAAAAAGUGCAAAACCACACUUUUCAAUUCCGGUAAAUUGCCGGUUUGCCGAUUUGACGGAAAAAGUUGGGUACCGCAGUAUUAUUUCUCCUCAUUUUUAAAAUAUAUUACAAUGGACAUCGCGUUUUAUUAAAAUGGAUAAACAAAUGAAAGUUUAAUUAAUUUUAAAAUUGAGUGGAUAAUACGCAAGCACCAAAAACUGUUUGCCGUUGACGUUCAAAACAAAAUCCCUAUUAUACCCUGUUUCCUCUAUUAGUCUUGCAUGUAAAACUAAUUUACAAUUGGCAAUUAGGCUUCCAAUGUUUGUAAAGGCUGUACGACUAACUGUAAAAUGCAUCAUAGCUUGGAAAAUAAUCAAUGUUCAAAAACUUAACUUUAUGUUAUAUAAAGCAUUACGAAUAUAACUUAGAAAUUUCAAAUUGAAAAAAAAAAGAAAAAAUUCGCCUUGAAAAAACCCUGUACAAAGAAAAAAACCAACCAGUAACAAAAAAUAAGAAGAAGAAUGAGCUCCCCUUCAUAAAUCGUCUUACUGUAAUUAAAACUAGAAUAUGAUGAAUAUUCAGGCACAUAUACAAUGUAGUCUGCCAUAUAGGGAAUUGGUUCCAUUUCUCCAUUAUAGGCCAUUCCAUGUCAUCGCUAACAUUAAUGGAGUAGAAAUAGUUGUUGUAAUACAUUUAAGUGUUAUGUUUCUUUAAAAAAAAGGAAAUGAAAUGCGGGUAUGGGUAACAAAAAAUAGGUUGAGUAUACUUUCUGAGAAAACGAGUACGCGCGCAUAAAGUUAGACAAGUUAAUCCAAUUCUGGGGUCAGAUUUAAUUUAGGAAAUGGAAUAAGUGACAAGGCGAUGUUGGUUUUUGAGCCUAGGCCUUGAUGUUUAAUAAUUGUUGCUAUAGUUCUAGUUUACUAAACUAUGUCUUUUGAAAUCAAAUAACCAGAAUCCACACAUAAACAUGAAAUAUCUCGUGAGAAUGUUUUUUUUUUCUCAAAAUCUAAAUUAAUCAGCAGAAUUUGUUUCUCAAACUAGGAUAAACAAUCAAAGCAUAGGAAAGUAGUUCUUUGAAAAACAUAUACUUGGUUUUUGGUAUUGAGUCGCAAUUUUAAUUUUUAAAUAGCACUGCAUAAAUUUCGCAAGUCAUUUUUAAGUUGUGAGAAUGACUGGUUUUUCAAAACUAUUCAAUAUAAAGAAUCCCUUCAAGUGUAAAAUUUUAAUCUUUUGAAUUAGUGCUCUCUUGAUUAGGUUAGUCAUUCUAGUCAUUUAUUGUGUUUUUCAAAAAAUAUUUCAACUAACUUAUAAAAUAUUAUUUUUAGGUGAUAUUGCAACGAAUAUGUUUUAAAACACAAAUAAAUCAAAAAGUUUUCAAAAAAUUAAUUAACUUCUCAUCCUUGUUGGUGGAAUUUUCCGCAAAACCUCCAGUACUUGUCGCAAGCAGUUCUAUAUUGGCUUUGAGCGGUUAAUAUAGGAUUGUUACAGUAAUUCAUUGCAAAUCCUUGAUAGCUACGACAAAGUUGAUUGACAGCACCGCCCGGGCCACGUUUACGGUGUGAUUUUCGUUGCGGGAUCACUGGCUUGUCGGGAAGCGGCACGUGACACUUUUCAGAGUAGACUGGACAGAAGACAAUGGCCUGUAAAAAAUAACCUAGAUUUUCGCAAUUUCUGAAAGCGACAUUUUUUUCAAAAUUUCAAAGUUUAAAUAAAGACAAAUUCGGCAAUUCGGCAAUCUGACGAUUUGCCGAUUUGCCGGAAAAUAUCGUUUGCCCACCCUUGAUAGGUUCCAUGUACUUUCUGUUUUCUAGAAUUUUUUAAAGAUUACAUGAAUUAAAAUAAAGUAGGCUAUUUUAUCUUGUGAAGAAGUGAGCAAAAACUAUGUUUCUGUUACUUUUAGAGUGUACUUUGAUCGAUAAUUUUUAGUCCAAAAAUUAAACUCACUUUUUGACCAAACCUGAACGGAUCCGGACAAACAUAAAGGUAUUGAUUUUUGAAUUCCUUGCAGAACCGUGCAAAAUUCGUCUUUUUGUGUGCAGAACCAGUAGUCUCCCCUCUCACCGCUGCUGCUGACUCGGGUGAGAUUGCGGCGGUACGAGGCCUAGAACAUAUUACUGAAAUUAUUAUUGGAAGCAUUGAUAUAAAAAUUCUUACCCAGUAACCUCUGCAUCUUUCGCCUUGUCAGGUUCACCUUCCGGAAUCGAAAAACAAAUAUUUUCGAAGGCAUUGCAAAAGUCCUUGUCUUUUUGCUCUCGUCGUUUUGUGUUGGCUCCUGUGCAAACCCUCACGUAUUCAUCCCUUAAUUCUCCGCAUGCUACCUUUAAAUAUUGUCAAUAUAUCAACUUUGGAGGCAACAUUCAGUUGUACGGCAAAUUCGCCGCACCCCCUUGAUUCAGUAUUCAACUCACUGUAUCCUGCUUUUUCUCGGCUUCACGAGAAGCUCUACCAAAAACUCCGCUGAACAGAAAUAACGAUAUCACAACUAUCCGCAUUGCGCUAAAAUUAUUAUGAUUGGCUUAAAAAUGUAAUUGAAGUUCAAAAUUGAAAAAAAACCUAAACAAUGUGGGUAUAUUUUUACAAUAAAUUUAGCUGAAUUUAAACAAAAAAACGUCAUUUGAAAACAAAUGUAUAGUAUAUCAAUUACGCAACAUACAUUUAAAGACACAAAAAUUGGCCAAAUUAGAAGCAAAACGAUAAAUGAUGGAGACGAAAAUGGAAAGUUUUUUUUGGUGGUGUGGGAAAUAGAAAAAGACCGGAUUUGAAUGACUUCUCUCUCCUCUGUUUUUUUGAAUGGUUAUCUCUUUAUCAUAAUCAGCGGCAAAGAUUUUCUCAAAGUUAGUUUUGAAACCGUUUUGUUAGAACUCUCACAGGCAAACCGGUUAGGCAUUUUUGCUAAAAUACUUCACAAUCCUCAAAUAAAAACGUUUAGGGCGGAGUAGCGCCAGUGGGCAUUUUGUCUAAAUACACAUAUAAUGAUUCAAAAUGACCAAAUAUAAUAAUGAAACAUUCCAAAAAAUUUCAUAUUUUUCAUAAUUUCCGGCCAAAGUUUAGGCAAAUUGUCAAAAUUUUGAAAACUAGGAGCUUUUGAGAAAAUCCAGAGCAAUACCGAAUGUUCCAACUCCUACAAUGUUUAAAUACAAACAAUUAAAAUGAAAUUACAGUACAAAAAAUGUAGGGAACUUUUUUUCGGUCGACUUCCAAAAUUAUGAGGGAUAAAAAAAACCUGAAUGUCACUUUUUGACAGUAAAUAAAAAAAGUUCAAAAAUGUUUUGAAAAGUUUUAUUAUGAUAUAUUUGGUCAUUUUAGCACAAUAUGCGUAGUUCGUAACACUUUCUCCACUGGCGCUGCUCCACCUCCAAGAGGUGUUCUUCUGCAGCAUUUUGAAAAUUUUAGAAGCCUUUAAAAAUGAGCAAACAAAAAUCUGCUAUUUUUUGAUGCUAUUUUGUUUCGACAUGUCUAUAACCGAAUUUUCAAAUGGAUGCAUGUCUUAAAGUAUUUUUUCAACAUUCAAAAAAUUCAACAUUCAAAAAAAAUUGACAGUUUAUGAUUUCAGUUCGAUUAUUGGUAAAUAUUUAAAAAAAAAACCACCUGUUUCAUGGAAAAAAAUGAGAAAAAAUGACCAUAUUUUCAAGGUUUAGAUAUUACAAAACCGGUUUCAUAAGACCAUUAGAAAAAUAUAGUACGGGCGGUAGACUGUAGUACUCGUGACUGAACUAAUUAAAAUACGUACUAUUAGCUUUUUAAUAAUAUUAUUUGAUUAUCAAUUUUAAUUUUGCUUCAAUUCAGUUGUAAAUUAUAGUUAACAGCUUCAUAGAAAUUUGUGUGCAAUUCCAAUGGAAAGCUGAUGAUACAUAUUUUAUACAUUUUUAUUCAAAGAAAAGCCAAAAUAAACAAUAAAAAAGCAAUAUUAAAUGCGAAAACUUGAGUGAUUAUUACUGAAAUACGUUGUGUGAAUUGAAUGAACUGCGUGGAUGGUAUUUAGAAAAAGGAGUACAAAACACAAAAAGAAUUGACAAAGAAAAGUGUAUUGUCGUCUCAAUUGAGUGGAACGAUUGUCUGAUGUAGAAGUUUAGUUGUUGUGGACGGGGUUCAAGUACUUAUCCUUGAUUUCCUUCAACCUUACGAGAGAAGAAGCGUUGAAUUUUGACAAAGUUCUGAAAAUUUUAAAUUUUUACUUAAAAUUGUGUGAAUGCUUUUGGAUUAUUUGGCAUGUCACAAACAUUUUUGAAUAUUUUUAAAAUUAGUUUAAGCUUUUUUACAAGUUUUUUACGACCAAGUGCAUUUUAAUCCCAAAAAUUGCAUAUAGAAAGUUAUUGUAAUGAUUCAAACUGAUUUUUAGUGGGUCAAAUGGAUAAAAUCGAAACCCAUGGCAAACUUCUAUAAAGCUCAAAAUUAUUCUUUCGUAGUAGCUCUUUAUGAUUAUGAAAAUCUGUAGUCACAAAAUUCACAAAAUUUACCUGUGGAGUAGUAGUGAAUCGAUGAGACAAUCCCUUUGGAAUCACAAUCAAGUCUCCCUUCUCGACCUGCACACGAAUCCAUGAGUCAUCCUCCGGCUCGACGUCAUAAUAGCAUGUUCCCUCGACGACCAAACUGAUCACAUCCUCUUUUUGUACUUGUGGCUCGUAGAAUUGUUCCAUCUUAUCAUCGAACUCGAGCAUUGUCUCACUGACAGUGAACAUAUCAGUGAAUGUUACAUUCUUCUCGGUUUUCACUGCAGAAAGGCGUUUCUUCAUCGAAGCGGUGUCAUCAAGGUCCACCUGAAAAUUGAGUUUUGGUUAUAUUUUUUUUAUUGAUUUUACCAAAGCAUACUCUCCCUCGAAGGCGGAGUAACGUCAGGUGGGAAUUAUUUGAAGUUUCAGAACUUUAGACUAUUUUGGAUCUUUUAAAUAAGGCUCCCAAAAAAAAUUAUAUAUAGACUUUUUUAAAAACAUCAUUUUGACCUUUAAUCAAAAUUGAAUUUUAGCGUCACUGUCCAUGAUCAAAAUAAAAUGUUCAAACACCAAAAAUGUUGUUUACAGGUGGGCAUAUGGUGAUUGUGGUUUUCAAUUCAUCCCCGCCACCGACCAUUCUACAUACCGAAACUUGUUGCAAAAAAUGUUUUUUUUUCACCGUCCUCCAUCGUCACCACCACCUCCCUUUCUCUAAUUGUUUUGUACCGAAAAAAAGGGAAAAUAGGAAUUUGCUUCCCUCUCUCUCACUUUCAAACUAGAUUUGAACAUUUUGACGGCUAGUGUCGGCUAGCCGUCGGCUACAAUUUUCAGCUACAAUGCUAGAAGGCUAAAACUGUGCGUGGGAGGAAGUGAGAACAAAAAAUGUUGUUCGUCAGGCGAUAAUGGAUGGUCAUGAUGAUGAUAAUACGACACUUGGAAGAUGAACUUUCAGAUAGCAAAACUUUUGGAAAAAAGAAAUGAACUUUACUCACAUCAGGCGAAAAUUUAUCCUCUAAUAGUAAGGAUAUAUAAUUUUUUUUUUGAAAACAACCGUGAAGUCCAACUUUCUGAACUUCGAACAACUUUUUUAGAAUAUGCCAGUAAAUAUUACAACUUUAAAAAAAUGGGAUUUCAGGCUAAAUUAUAUGCUUUCUGGGUGUUAAUAGACAUAACAAACUCAAAAAAUAAUGUCACCAAAGUUUAUUGAAUGAAAUUUCAGAAAGCACAUAAUUUUUCCUAAAGUUCCAUGGUGACCUGGGCUAUUCACAGUUGGAUUUCAUACUGACUUAACUUGAUUUCAUAUUAAGUCUUUUAGAACUGAAUUCCCAUGGUAUAUAAAGAACAUAACUAACCUUAUAAUAUUGAACUCCAGCGAGUUGCCCCAGCUGUGUUGUAGUGAUCUUCUUUGGUGGGAAGACGUGGUGUGGGAGACGACGAUCUCCGCAUGGGAAUGGUUCCAUGUGCCAGAUUUGCAUUUUGGUGGGAAGGUUUCAGUGGAGACUUGUGGAAAAAAAAACCUGAAAAAAUACAAUUUUUUGAGUUAGUUGUUGUUAUUGAGAACAAAAAAUAACAGUAAGAGGAUUUUAAUGGAACUUGGUAAUUUGAAUUCGAAUUUCCAUUCCAUUUCCGAUUUUUUCAAAAGAAAAAUAAACAGAUUGCGAAUGACAUAGAAAAGUGUUCCGAAGUUUUUUUUUGUGUGAGAGGGUCGAACAGGGAGGGAUUACUAUAAUAGUUAAAGACGGAUUAGGUGGUGAGUGACCCAGAUGUUUAUUUCAAAUUUAUGCAACUACCUACAUGGUUUCGAGUGUUUGCUUAUGCAAGGUAUUGAGUGAAAACUUUUAAAUGGCUAGGAAAGUGGAUCUGGAACUUUUGGAAAUACUUUUCCGGUUUGUUGAAAACCUAAAUACAGUCUAACGGAAACAUGUUGUUGAAAUUAGUAAUAUUUAUGUCAGGGAGUGGCAGUUUUUAAACGAAUUCUGUAAAACUAAAAUUGUUUUGGUGGCUUUGAAGCUUUACCAAAAGCUGUAUAACUUUUUCGUUCAUUAAAAAAUUUUCAGGUGAACACAUUGCUAGAAAAACCGGAAAGGAGUCGGGUGCAAAGGAGCGCCAAAACCAGAUGGACUACAGAGAUCGCAACCCUAUAUUGCAACAAAGAAAAGUUUGGAAAGCGGCGACUAAUUAUUCAAGUAAGUUUUUUUCUGAUUGGUUGAUGGGACUUAUAUCACAAAUGGCGAUGGUAUAUUUCUCCAGCUCUUUAAAGUUUUUUUACUGCCGACUUGAACCUCAAUCUCAAAGACUUUUGUAGACGGUUGUAAGUCUGUGUUGAAAUAUGAUAAGCGAAGAAUUUUUUAAAAAUAACUCAAAAAAAAUUCAAGAUGAUCAAAAUUCUGCAGCUUUAGUAGCCUACACUGCUUUUCUCAAAAUGCUAACAAAAAUGCAUUAGACAACGCCUUCAGGAGAGCAUCAGUAAACUGUGCAAAUGCAGCGAACCAGACGAAAAAUGAAAAAUGGUUGAGUCGACGCAAAACCUGAAGCCUUUUUAAAUCCGAACAAGACGAUUGGAAUCUUGAAAAAGAGUAGUGGGCGUGGCCUCCUCAUCUCUAUUUCUCCACCUUCUUCUUCUCAUACACAGAACGCAAACAACGGAAAGAUUAGAAAUCGGGUGGCUAUGGAGGGGGAAGAAGCGAGCGGCGGGAUGGGGCAAAAAACGGGAUGGAUGCGAAUUUCAGAUAAGAUGAUGCUGAAAAAUAUUGGAAAAGUCUCCUAUUAGCCAUGGAUUACCGGAUAUGUGUCUAGCAUGAUUUUGAUCAUAUCUUCGGAGUACUUACGCGGGAAAAAUCCAAAACAAGCAAGCAUAGCAACAAAGCAAGCUAACGAAUUUUCAAUUUUCGCUGUCUCCUUAGGGAUUUCUACAAUAGUUUGUUUAAUAUUGGAUAUGUGAAACGAUCUAGGCUAUUUUGAAUAUCAUCUGUGACCCCAAUCUUUCCUCUUAUGUACAAUCAACACCGAUUGUUGCAAUUUUUAAAAUGACUCAUUUAAAAUGUAAAUUUUUUGAAAAUUAACGUUACCCUAAUUAACGUCAUUCAAAAUAUGUUUUUUUAAUCACCGCGGUUCAAAUUUUCGUUAGAUAAUCUACAUCAUUUCAAAUUUAUUGAUGAAAAAGUUUUCAUCCGACAAUAAAUUAAGGGAAUAGCAUUGACCGAGGUAAGUGUAAAAAUAUAAAAAAUGCUUAAAGGGGGAGUAGAGUUUGUAGGUAUUUUGCUUAAAUAGACUAAACAAGGUUCAAAACUAGCAAAUUUCAGACUUUUCCUUAUCGUAGUUUAUAGACAUUCAAAUUUGGUUAUUUUUGAAUUCCAAUUGAAUGAAAGUGUACUUAAAUCAUCAUGCAUGCAUGCAUCCAAGUUAAUCAAACUGCAAAAUUACCUAAUUUUUGAACUUUAAAGUUUGAAGUCCCAAACUGACAUGGUUCCUCUACAGCGUGGCGCGCAAUAUCUAUUACACAUGCUGUUUUUUUUUUGAAAAAUUAUUUUCUUGACGUUUUUUUUUUCAAUUUUCUUGUUUAUUGCUAAUAGUAAGUACACCAUUUGAAAAUUCUCAAUUUCAAAAUUGUUUCCGAUCGAGGAAAAAUAACGAAACGAAAAAGUUAUAAGUAAGUUGAAUAGUAGACAGAAACAGAAAACUAACCAAUCAUCACCUAAAUGAUCAUUUCGUAACCAGAUUCAACUCUGUUCUCUCUCAUUAAAUUUUAAACGAAAUUCAUGAUUUUUCGGAAAGAUAACUUUCAUCCGAAGGCUUCAAUACUCAAUGAAAAUCUGAGACAUUAAUCUUUCCGAGAAGCAUUAAAAACACGACGAAGUGAAGGGUAAAAAAUAGCAGAGAGAGAGAGAGAGAGAGUGGUCAAUCAUCACACAAUAUGGGCUGAAAGUUAUGCGUUAUUGUUCCUCUUGACACGGUAAUUAUGUGAUGAAAACUAAAAGUUGUUCUGGGUAGAUGUGGAGGGUUCUUGAAAAAAAUAUGGUUAAUAAUAAACUUGGAAAAUAGUCCGAGGUUCGAGUAAUUGCACCGCUGUUGGGAUUUUGUGAAGAAUCCUAUUUGAAUCCUGCCCAGAGAGCAGCCUGGGGUCAGAGAUAGUUCAGGGCUUUGGCCCCUGAAAAGCAUAACACACUUCAUCAGUCAAUAUUCGUAGGACACAAAACAUGCGGGGGAAUGUACGAUAAUAUGUGAGUUAAUAAGGAAAAAUGCGAGCGCGGCAGCGCACACGUUUUGAAAUUCCUAUUUUACGUUCCAAAAGUGACAGUUUUUUUCUCAGUUUUUGUCACUCAUAAUUUUGGAAGUCGACCAAAAAAAUGUUUUCCUACAUUUUUAAUACUUUGAUUUAGUUUUAAUUACUUGUAUUAAAAUAUUGUAGGAGUAGGAACAUGCGGCAUUGCUUUGGAUUUGCUCAAAAGCUCAAAAUUUUCAAAAUUUUAGCAUUUUGCCAAAACUUUGACCGGAAAUUUUUGAGAAAUCUAAAUUUUUUUGGAGUGUUUUAUUAUGAUGUUUGGUCGUUUUAGGUCAUUAUAAAUGUAUUUAGACAGCAUCCCCUCUGGCGUUACUUCUCCUUCAAUAUUAGAAACUAGAAAACUGAAAUUCAGUUCCAACAAUUCAACCGUACACAUUUCCGUCCUGUGCACCUUUCAUUAAAAAAACUGCUUUGAAAUUUUUACAUAGUCAGAUUUUUUCCAUGAAUUUAAGUUUUGGAACCAUUACUUUCACUUUCAAACGAAUUCAAAAUAAGUGAUAUUCCUAAAAAUCUUGAACUCGAAAGUGAUUUGAUCUCUGAAUCCUUAAUUGUUUGUUGUCUUGAACACUUCCAGAUUGUUGAUCAAAAACAAUAAUGAUAAUAUAAAAAAAGUUUUUGAAGAUCACAUUCAAAGAUCAGUGAAUCAAAUAAUCAGAAACAACAAAAGAAAUUGAGGGUGUGGGAGGGAGGAGAAACAAUAGGAAUGUCUGCAAAAUUUCAAAGCUCAAAGAUAGAGUAAUGAUAUAGGGGCUUGUGAUUUUGAAUAGUGAACAUGGAACGUAAUAAUUUUUUCAAAUUGCAAUGAUUUUAGUGUAAGCAAACUAUAUGAAAAUAUCUUUUUAAAAAAACAGCACAAAUUAAAAGAUUUUUUAGUCUUGUAAAAAAUCCUCUAACAUUUUCGGCAAAUCUAAUUUCCGGCAAACGGCAAAUUGGCAUUUUACCGAAAAAGAGAAUUUCCGGCAAAUCGAUUUUGCCGAUUUGCCGAAUUUGUCGACAAAAUAAUUGGCGGAACGGCAAGUGCCGCCCACCCUUGCCUAAUUUUAAUAAUAUAACAGAGUAAAAUUGAGAUUAAAAAUAAACUUAGCACGAAAGUUGGUAAUUUUUUUCAUUUGCGUUGCUGUCCGAAACUUUUGCAAAAUUAAAAAUCAUUAAAACUUUCAAAAAAUUUCAGUUGUAUUUGGUUAGUACGGUUCAUUGUCUAUUUUUUAAAACAAAACCCUUACAUGACCACAUUUUAGUGAGGGUGAAAAAUUGGAGAUGAGCUCAAAGUUUUUGGAAAAUAGCAAAAAAGGCUCGGCUUGAUUGCGUAUUCCUAGCUAGCGAAUCUCGAAAAAUCUUAUACGGAAAAGUUGCGUAUCUCCUCUUGCAAAGCGCGUGUGCGCGGACAACGUUGACGGUCGUAUUAUGGAAUGCAAAUAUCGGAAGUCAUCUCCGCUUGUUUCUUCUUCACAGCUAACAAAACUGAUUUUUUAUGCAGAUAGCAAUCAGUCAGACGGCGGCCACUGCCAUUUUCAUCUCCCUGCCAACACAGGAAAAACCCGCUGGCCUCGCGGGCGGGGAUUAGAAAAGGAGGUGGUAAAUUGGACAUGUCACACAGACACAGAAGUGCCUAAGAAAUAGAAAAUAGUAUGAUAACAAGAUCUAGAUAUAUUUUUUUUGAUAGAUCAGCUGUUGUUGGCAGAAACUUGGUGUGGCAUGCAGAUUCAAAGAAAACUUGUUGAAAGUGAUGAUCUCCACGCUUACAUAAUCUUUGAUAACUGCGAGUAAAUUUAUUGUGUAACAUAGAAAGAGGGUAUGAUAAGAUAUCGGGAUCGAAACAAGAUUUUGGUUUAUUUUGAAGCAGCUGAUUUUUGGCAAAACAUUUUGCUUCGUUAGUGUUCUCUGAAAAUGUGGGAAACCUUAGAAAUCUUGGGUCAGAGCGGGAUAGGUUCUUAAGGUUCUUGCUUACUGUUAAAAUAUUGUUUUGAUAACGUAUUUAUUUACAUAUUAACUAACUAGUAAGUAAAACCACCUACGCACUUGAUCAAGGCACUUUAUAAGACACAAUACAAUAAACACUAUUGUGACUGGGUGGAAAUGUGCACGGUUCAUCUAAACCAGGGGUGGACCGCAAACGAUUUUUUCUUUCCGGCAAAUCGGUAAAUUUCCGGAAUUGACAAAUCGGCAAAUCGGUAAAUUUUCGGAAUUGGCAAAUCGGCAAAUCGGUAAAUUACCAAUUUUCCAAACUUGCUGAAAAUUUUUUCGCAAAUUGUGGUUUUGCACUUUUUUUUUGGAAAUUUCAGAAUUUCAAUUUCAAUCGGCAAAAUUAUACGCAUUCUAUGAAUGUUCUACAUCUAUUUUAAAAAGCAAGCGAAUUCUAUGAAAAUAUUUAAAGAAAACGGGAAAAAUUCCACAAAGACACUGCUCAAGUGUUUCCAUCUUAGAAAAAAAUCCUCUAAACAUUUCCGGCAAAGCUAAUAUCUGGAAAAUGGCAAAUCGGCAAAUUGCCGAAAAUGAAAAUUUCCGGCAAAGUGUUGUUCAUGAAAAUUUACAGAAAGAAAUUAGAAAUUUAGGGCUAAACUUUAGAAUUUAUAAUUCACAAGUUUUACAUUUUUUGUCGGUUGGUUCUAAUAAAGAAUUGGCACUUCAGGGCAGAAAUUUCAUAUUAAAAUAAUUAUAGCCAUUUUCUCGGAAAUCCCAAAACUCUAUAAUUUCAGUUUUUGCACUUAUACAAAGCUUUACAGCUGUAAAAAUCCAGUUUACGUCAGUUAAUUUUUGGGAAAAGUACUUGAAGGAGUAUUCUCCGAAGUACAAGCAAUAAGCAGCAAAAAACAACAUUUGUCCUGUUUUUGUGAACAUUUUCCUCCUGAUUUUUUAUCUGACUGUUUUUCAUUCAACCAUUCAUGACAAUUGGAGUAAUUUUUUACAACAGCCACGAGAACAUUUGACUGUGAAACGCAAAAACGACAAUGAUGCGAAGCUUACUUUCAGAUCUUCCAAAUUCAAAAAAAAAACCUCUUUCCAUUUUCAAAAAGUUAAACUUAUACAUUUUUCAGUCAGCAUCUUUUCAUUUGUUGAUAAUAAUUUGAUUAUAGCCUACUGAGCUAGUGAAGAGAAAUACUAUUAGUUAGAAAAUGGUUCUGACCGCUGCGUGUGGCCAAAAAACUCAUUUUCCCCGUUAAUCCAUAUAAUAUAUCUCGAAAUCGUGGCGUUUUUUAAUGGGAAAUUUUUUUGGCAUCGUGAAUCUUCCAAUUCCCAUCUCAGCCUGCGCAAAGCUGUAUAUAAAAAUUGUUAUUAUAUGAUUGAAUAUUCGCGUUUAUUUACAUCUAUUUUUUCACUCCUCAACUCCCCCUCCAGUUAUUUAUUGAACGUUCCUCGUGAUUAUACAAAUUUGAUCAGGACCAAGAACUUUAAUUAGGCUUUACGCAUAAUCCUAUUAAUUUGAUUAAUAUGCCAUUCUUUUAAAGCCAUGACAACUCAACUUCUUCCCCCAGCUGCCUAAAAGUACAAGUGUGCGCUGACAACUUGUGGAAAAGUGCAAAGAUAUAAUAAGGCUUGUGACAAGAGGAUAGAAAUAUUUAUCAAAAUGAGGCGGACAAGAGUCUGAAUAAUUAUAGGAGCUCUGAUUGAGAUAUUUAUAAGAAAGUGCAUAGAAUUUUCGAGCACUCUUUCAAGUUUUGAGGAUUUGUACAUUUUAGAUUUACUAGUGGACAUUCAUGUUCUUUUUAGUGUUCACUUAUUUUCAGCUUAACUCGUGCUCUUUUUUUUUAGGAACUAUCUUCCAGAUAAAUAGAGUAUCUGGUAUAUUGUUUAGCCUAUCAUCAAAUAAUCUACUGAUAAAGGAUGUUAGUUGUGUCUUAUAUAGUGCUGCUGAUCAAGGGGGUCAAGUCCCGUGUCCCGUUUGUCCCGUUGUCCCGUUGUCCCGUUUCUAAAAUUAUCACGGGAACGGGACGUCCCGCUGUCCCGUUUUUUUUUAUUUUCACGGGAACGGGACAAUUUCCCUCAUGAUUUUGUUUCAAAUUUUAAAGUUCUGUUUUUGUGUUUUGUACCAAGACUUAAAUUUAUGCAGAUUAAUGACUUACAUGCAGUUUUUUUUAUCAAUUUGCCUCGAAUACACUAAAAUUUACGCCAACUGCGCACUCUUUUUUUUAACCGCCCCGUUGUCCCGUUUUUGAAAUUUUUACGGGAACGGGACGUCCCGUUGUCCCGUUUUUAAAAUUUUCACGGUAACGGGACGUCCCGCUGUCCCGUUUUUGUAAUUUUUACGGGACAUUGACACCCUUGCUGCUGAUGUCGUAAAGAGUGUCGUAUACUUUGUUACUUGUCCGUUAUUUAUCCCGAAAAUCAGACUUAAAAAAUAUACUGUUGGCGUUUUUGUGCCGACGUAAAAACUGAGGCAUAAAACUCUAAAACUAAAUUUUCGACAUAAAACACCAUAACAAUUGCAGUUCGGCAAAUUUUUUUGUCGACAAAUUUGGCAAAUCCGCAAAUUAACGGUUUGCUGAAUUUCCGGAAAUUUUUAUUUUUCCCCAAUUCCCGAUUUGCCGUUUGCCGGAAAUCAGAUUUGCCGGAAAUGUUUAGAAUAGAUUUACAUGACGGAAACACUUAAAGCUAUGCCUUUUUGAAUUUUUUUCCCGUUUUCUUUAUAUAUUUUGAUAGAAUUUGAUUACUUUUCAAAAUAGAAUUUCGAUUUCGGAAAUUUGCCGAUUUGCCGGAAAAAAUCGUUUGCCACCCACCUCUGAUAUGUACCAUAUUUUAGUUCACUAUCAGUUGUCAGUUUUAACAUUAAUCUCACUUUCGAAGAACAUUUCCUGUAAAUCAAUUUGAAAAUGUUAUCACACUUUCAUUGAUAAAUGAUAAUUACGUCGUUCCCAUCAUUAUCUUCCUUCAUCUCAGUGUCUAUCUUAUUUAGUAUACAUCACACACUACCAUUAUCAUUCUCUGUGACCGACUUUUCAUUACACAUUCUCCUCUUCUGCCUCUUAUUCUCUACUACUACUACGAUGUCCUUAAAUUAUUUUGAAGUUCCUAUGAAAUAUUAUAUUCUGCUUCUAGCUUUUAUUCCACAUGUUCAUGGACAAACUCAAAUAAGCGAUAACUUCCCUGCGAGUGAUAUCAUUGAACUACCAGUCGGCAGGUGUGAGUCUUUACCGUUUGAAAAUUUUUGGCGAUUAUAUGAUUCAUUUAAAAAAAGAGUGUUAAGAAGAACAGUAGCAAAAAUCGUGUUCUUUUAUCAAAAUUUUAAAUAAAAUCUGGGGUGUUUUAUGACAAAAUAGCUAGGCUUAGUUCAAACAGUUCAAGACAUGUGAGAGUUUUUCGGUGAAGUAGUAAAAAAGUAAAAGAUUUAAGGACAACAGCUACUUGUUGAAUGCGUGCACUAUGUUAGGGACUAUUGUAAAAUUAUUCAUCAUAGAUUGAAUAAUUAGGGUUUGUGGAACUUGGUGUAGGUGACUAUAAUAUUUCAAGAGGUCAAGGGAUUAGGCAGAGGUACAUCAUGGGGAGAAGCAUAAGUAACUUUUAACCAAAUCAACGUUCAAUUAACAAUAUCAUCAUUUUUUGGUGGAGGUUUGGCUUUAAACUGUGGUUCCGAAUGGUUAAUUCUUUCAAAAUUAAUCAACGCUGGUCUAACAGUGGCUGUUUGUGUUGCACGAUCUGUAAAUUAUUAAAAAUUGUUAAAUGACAAUUUAUUUAGCUGUUACUCACAGUUAAACAGUCUUGCACAUGGCUCCAAUAAGAUAAGCGUUCCUAGGGUCUCAAACAUUGGGCUACAAAGAGCAUAGUCAAUGAAAAAUGCUCCAUAACCAUUUUUUCCGUUACCAGCCAAAACCAUAAACAUCACCACGACUACAUUGAAAUGUAGAAAUAUCAGUUGAGUUAUGAUUUGACAGAUAAGAGUCCACAAUAUAACACGCUCUUUUUUGAUUCGAUAUUCCGAUUGAAUUAUUGGCAUUAAAUAGACAAACUUUGCGCAUUUGUAAAAGAGUAACAUUGCCGUGUUGAGAUAAACCGUCUGAAAAAAGGGAUUUCACGGGAUUCUAACUGAAAAAAGAGAUUUCACGGGAGUCUAACUCGGCCUCACUUCAGACUUUUAAAUACAAAUUCAUGCUUAAUUUUUUUACAAGCUAAAUUUUGAGCAACAAAACACUCACUAGCAAGUUCCUUGAAUUGAGAUCAAAAAAUUUUCAAUGUUGGGUGAUAGGUUUUUCAUCUCCUAAAAGGAGCACGGCAAAUUUGCCGAAUUUUUCAAAUUUUCCAAUGUUUGUCGUGCUCGGCAAAUAUCCCCAUACUCUAACCCCAUUCCCAACUCCUUACAAUUAAAGCCAGCACAGAAUAGCUAGUCAAUUCAGAAAAGCAUAUCACUGAAUAUUCCAAAUCUUUGAUGCUGGAAGCUGCGUUCACCGUGUUAUUUUUGCCCAAUACGGUUAUAACAGCAUCUGGUAGAAACCAUAUCCAUCCGAUUGACAAUGGCAUCAACAUCCAUAUAAUAAUCUUCAUAGAUUGAAAACUAUUUCUUAUCGUUUUCUUUUUCUGAUGUCUUCCCAUGUUAUAAACGAGCGAAAUUGCAUACAUUGCUGAUUUAGCAGCAAAAAACAGUAAAACAAAAGGUUGAAUGCAAUGGAUAUAUGGCGCGAGAACUGACGAAUGUGGUUUUGCUCGAAUCGUGAACGAUCGGUCUCCAAAGAGGAAUUCCUGCAAAAAAUUAAUUAGCUUUGGUGACUUUACUUUUUUGUUGAAAUCUCAUUGAAUUAGUCAAGGCGGCCUAAUAGAUCAACUUAGUCCCCGACUUCUGGAUGGGAGCAUGGCAUUUAAAAGAAGACCUUCCUAAUAGACCCCUGCAAAAUAUUUUUUGCAGAGGAGCACUUUGAACUAGAUGAAUUCGAUCUGAAAUUGUGAUCAGUGCACUACUUUAAAAGCCCAUAAAAUUGCUCCAAAUGGCAAUUUUUGAAAAUUUUUAUGAUUUUUAGGCUAUUUCGAAGUAGACAAGUAUUCUGGAAGCUUUUUGGAAAUUCUUAUUUUUUGGAAAAUAUCUGAAAAAUGUGUUAAUUGUUAAUUACUCACUUGCUUGGACAAUAGCGCACAUAAUGAGAACAAUCCAUUCAUUGCUGCAUUAUAGAGAAUUAGAUUUUCUUGUACUUUGUCGAUAUACCGUGUUUGCAAGGUGACAACUGAUGGAACUAUGAUAUUUGAUAGUAGUCCAGCAGCACAAACAAUGGUUUGAAACUGAAUCAUUUUGGAAACAAACACCUAAAUUAUAUUAUUUAUUCUUGUUAUUUCAGAAAUUUUCAAAAAUACGUUGAUAGAAAUCGCGGGGUUAUGAAAAAUAGAACAAAAAAAAGAAGAAUGUGUGAUAUCGCAGAACCUCAUGGGGGAACGUCACAUACCAGUUAUUAUUAGUCAGCUGAGAGCUCGCAAAAAUGCGAAAAUAAAUUGAUUAGACGUCUUAGUGGCUGAUGGAGAAAAACCUUCAAUUUACUCAAACCCUUUGGGAGUUCACAAUACAUUUACAAGGUGUGUUGAAAACAGGGCUGUGCGGCAAGUUUGCCGAAUUUGCCGUUUGCCAAGCUCGGCAAAUUUAAAAAAUGUGGACAUAUCGAAUUUGCCGACCUCGGAAAAUUUUAAAAUUUGCCGCAUGAAAUUUUUUUUCGUGUUGUCCAAAAGUAAUGGUUUCGAUCAGAAACUUAAUGAAAGCAGGGCUCCGAUGAGGUCGCCGCAACGGCGCCCGCGCCGGCCUGACGGCGUAGCUUACGCCGCAUGUAUCCGAACGUGCAGUACGGCGCGGAACCGCGAACGUGUCGGCCGUUUCCAAAUAAACACCUUUUGCACUACGUUGCACCCACACCAAGCUACUCGUUUCACGCCUAUCUACGGAGCCCCGAACGUGUCGGCUGCCACACACAUAGCUCAUAAAAAUAAAAUUGAAACAUCAUAUUUUUCGAAGAAAAUUACUUCAGUCUGAGUGCAAUUCCUGAGAUAACCUGCUCAGCUGCCCGAUGGGAGUUAAACGUUGUCGGGGUCUAAACUAAUUUUAAUUGGGAUGACUGUUUUAAUGGCCCUUAAAGUGGACUUUGUUCUUCCGAGAUCAUGUACUGCAACAGUGCAGUAUCGUGCAUGAAAUAAUAUCUUGCAAACUAUGCCAUGAACUCCCGAACCUUGAUCUUAUCAGCACCAGAGAAAUGAAAUUUUCUCUUACAACUACGAUUGAUGUCAGUCAAUUAAGCAUUCAUAUCAGUUAUCUCACCAUUAGUCUGUCUAUGUUCACUACGGGGAGCACAGUUUCGGAAUUUUAUUGUUAAAAAUGCAAGGCAUUUAAUUUAAACAUUAGUUGUUAUGUACUUUUAGAAAAAUGUCAAAUUUGGCACGUCUGAGGCAACGUUUGGUGUAGUUGGGUAUUUUUCUCAAAUCGGCGAGCCUUUGUCUUUUAAGGAAGUGUGGUUUGUAUAUAUUUGGUAGCAAACAUCAGACAAACUUCGCUAGACUAAUUGGGGAGUACGUGUAAGAACAAUAAUCGGCAUUUGUUAGAUUUCUGACAAAAGCUAGAAGUUUGCGCAUAAAAUAUUUUUAUAGACACUCGAAAAGUAAAGCUUAAUGUGUCGUCGACAAGCCUAAUGAAGCUCAUAGGGUAGAGGUGGCACAGCAGCAGACUCCGCCCAAAAAUUUCAGCACAGCGGUAACAAAUCAAGGGGUUUUAUUAGCAGACAUUCGACACACACGAAAACGCAGAAAAAUAGUCAUAAACGAGAAGAAUAUCUGAAAAUCAUAAUUGAUGGCUAUGAGGCUAGAAGCGAUAGAUGUGUGCGUAUGGAGUUACUAGAUAAGGAUUUGAACAAUAUUGAAUUAAGAUAAUGGACUGACUAUUUUUCCUUUGAGAAUUGAGUUGCACGAGAAACUGGGGAGUUUUUUGAAAAAAAAAAACAAGUUCUACGAAAAUAUCUAAAGAAUACGAGGAAAAAUUUUAAAAAAAGCACUGUUCAAGAGAGAAAAAGUUCCUCUGAACAUUUUCGGCAAAACUGAUGUCCGGCAAACGGCGAAUCGGCAAUUUGUCAAGAAUAAAAAUUUCCGGCACAUUGGCAAACCGGCAAAUUGUUGGAAUUCUAAAUUUCUUGCAAAUCGGCAAAACAUUUGCCGAAUUCGCCGAAAUUGUCGACAAAAAAAUUGCCGUAUGGCAAUUGCGGAGGGAUUGAUAUCGUCUUUGAAAUCAGGAAAAACAUAAAACAUUCAAUUUAUUUCUUUUUGAACCAUCGUUGUAGGUUUCCUGAACCAGAAUGCAAGUACAGUGUACAUCAUGGAUCAGACAAACUUGGACGAAUUGUGACAUCAAAAGUGAACAUUGGAGAUGAAAUUUAUCACUCGUGGAAUUGUAAUUAUAGUGGCGAUCACAAAAACUACUUGUUCUGUGUGAUGGUCAAUAAUUGCACGAUUUCAGACAGCGGGGAGGAAGAAAUAGGAACAAGGAAGGUAAGAGCAGGUCGAUAACAACUCAAUAGUAGAGUAUCAUUUAAAGAUUCAAAUAAUCGACGAGAAUGGGUGUUCGGUGUUCCCAAACAUUCUACCCGAUAUAUCAUAUCAAGGAGAUUUAUCAGCUGGAAUUAAGGUUCACGCGUUCGCAUUGGAUGUGGACACGGUAAGUUAAAAGUGGAAUAGCACCAGUGGGAAUUUUGUCUACAGUUAUAAUAACCCAAAACCACCGAAUAUCAUAAUAAAACACUCAACAAAUUUUAGAUUUUCAUAAUUUCCGGUCAAAGUUUUGGCAAAUUUCCCUAUUCAAAAAAAAAAAAGAUUUUGAGGAAAUCUAAGGCAAUGUCGCAUCUUCCGACGUUCUAUAAUGUUUCAAGACGAAUAACCAAGACAAAAUUACAGUAUAAAGAAUGUAGGAAACAAAUUUUGGUCGACUUUCAAAACUAUGAGUGGCAAAUGAAAAAACUGAGUAAUUGCCACUUUUUGACAGUAAACAAAAAAUUCUUUAAAAAUUUUUGAAAAGUUUUAUUAUGGUAUUUGGUCAUUUUGCUAUAAAAUGAGUAGUUUUUAACACUCUCCCCACUGACGCUACUCUACCUUUAAGAAUCGUGUGGAAAAUAUCACUUCUAAAAUCUCAGACGGCUGUUCAUUUCACAUGCAAUAUAAAAAUGCUGUUCAAGGACCAUGAACAGUGUCAGAGGCCUCGAUGUGGAAACCAACGACGAUUUUCGAGAUAUUUAAAUUGAGAUAUGAUAUGAAUAAAACAUUUUGUCUAAUAAAAUUUUUCAAAAAGUUUCACACGCAGGAUUUAUGUACGAAAUGUUUAAUUAUUAUUGCGUGGAGGUUUUUUGUGUCAAAAUCUAUAACAACUAAUAUUCCCAAAAGACUGGAAUUAAACACCGAAAACCCUUAUUGACGCAGGUAACACCCUUGAUGACCGUUCAUUAUUUUAAGUUUCUUACCGCUUUUCAAAUAUAACACGUAAUUGGUGGGUUUAGCUUUUGUGGUAAAACUUCAGUUUCAGAAAUUGAGUGGAAAAGAAAAAAAAGAAGAUAGAUGUUCCGCAGAUUAUAGAGAUUGAAAGCUAAAAUUUACAUGACUGAAUGAUUCAUAAAUUUUUCUAUUCUAGAAAUUUCUCUGUAAUUAUCAUCCCAAGAGGGAAUAAUAAUGAUAAAAUAUUUAGUGAAGAUGUAUGAUGCAGGAGAUGAACAUAUGUAGAAAACAAUUUAUUUAUCAAAAUAUACACAAAAAACCAUCACAAAGUUAUUUUUUCCCAAAAAUUAAUAAUUAAAGUUAAUUUACUUUCUGCAGGAAGCCGAACAACUCUGCUGACAAGCUGGCUGACACUGCGAGAUUGGUUGCUGUUGCUGAAUGCAUUGGGUGUUGCAGCUUUGCUCACAUUGUGGCUGACACUGUGGGGACUGACGAGCAACUGGAACAUUGAUG